This 150-nucleotide small nucleolar RNA is filed under the name Hippocampus comes (tiger tail seahorse). RNAcentral describes it as "Small nucleolar RNA SNORD97 (ENSHCOG00000016369.1)". It matches the Rfam family "Small nucleolar RNA SNORD97". Lineage: Eukaryota; Metazoa; Chordata; Actinopteri; Syngnathiformes; Syngnathidae. The record is from RNAcentral.
AUGCUCGUUGAUGAUAAAAAGACGCGUUAUUCUGAGGGAGCAAACUGCCACCAGUCCUCUCCUCCUCCACCUUUCUCUCUUUCCUCCUCUGCUCUUCUUCCUCGCACUGGUUGGUGGUCCUCUGACUGUGAUUAUGAGAUCUGAGGGCAU